AAGAUGCAGUUUUUCAAUCACAUGAACAAAUCAGUGUCUCAGAGGGAGGACUCUACAGCUGCAGAGGAGGAAGAGGAGAACCAGUUUACUACACAGAGGACAGUGACACAUUAAGGAUUGACAAAAUUGUGUCAAACAGGCCUGUUGUGACUCUGUAUCCAAACUGGUCUGAGAUAUACAGAGGAGAGACGAUCACUGUCAGAUGUGAGAUCCAUGGAGGAGACACUGAGUGGGAUUAUGAGUGGGAAACAAACAGCACCAUAAAACCUCCAAAUCAAACUGAAUACAGGAUUAGAUCUGCUUCAUCAUCCAACAGUGGAAACUAUCGCUGUAAGGGCAGAAUGAAAAGUUCACAGUAUAACACAACAGAGUGGAGUGAUUCAGUCACACUGACAGUUUCUGACAAUAAACCCCGUCCUGUCCUCACUGUGUCUCCA
Oreochromis niloticus (Nile tilapia) is the source of this 437-nucleotide long non-coding RNA. RefSeq lists it as uncharacterized. Lineage: Eukaryota; Metazoa; Chordata; Actinopteri; Cichliformes; Cichlidae. The transcript has 3 exons. The record is from RefSeq and is a predicted model, not a curated record.